GAAAGAAAGGAUUAAAGUAUAUGAUUUGGCAUUCUAAAUCAAGCCCAAAAUUCAGGUUAAGCCAACUGUAAUGUCACAUAAGAAAGUGAGGGGAGAGAGGAUUUUGAUCCAAAACCAUGAGAUUUUGCCAUGUUAGGUGGUGAGGCAAGUCAAUCUGUUUUGCAUAUGGUUCAAGAUUAGGUGGUCCAAGCUUGGACCACUGGCUUGGAGUUGGCUAAGUUGGGGGUAGGGGGUUAGGAUGUAUGGCUUGGGCUUGUUAGGGCUAUAGGUGAUUGGACUGGAUCUCAUGAUUCAUGACCAUUUGAGGGUUAAUAUGUAAACUACGAAUCAUCUAUCUUAGCCUUGGUUGGCUUUCAUAGGCGUUAGAAAGGUGGUGGUCUUCACCCAUUACAUGUGCUCCUACAUAUAUGAUUGAAAUGAAAUGAUUGCAAACUUAUUUACAGUAGCAUUUUCCCUUGAAACCCAAACUGCAAAAUCUAACAAAAACAAGGAUGAUAUCAUACAGUUGAUCAUAAACACAAACAGGUUGCUGGAGCAGCUAUAAUCUAUGAAAUAGAGGUAACAGGUCAAGUCACAACUCCUUAACUCUGGGGAAUAAUCUUGUCGCUAGUCAUUUAAUCUCAUUUCUUUGUUUUUUUCCCUGUUUCUCUUUUCCUCAAACUUUUCUUCCAUGGCUGUAUUUCUAGACCAACGUCAUCUUCUUGUUACAUUGGAAAGGAAUUGUCUCCAUAACCUUUUGAUCAGUGAUUAUAUUUCUGCCAGGCACUGACUCAAAAAAGCUCAUAUUUGGAGAAAGAGGUGGAGCCCUUGAGGCAAAAGCUGCAACAGAUAAAGAGGCACUUUCCAAGAGAAAGAAGCUUUCUAGAUUACUUCAAAUUCAGCAACACACUGAGUCAUAGGAACAAUUGAAGUAGCAUUCAACUGGUGGUCACUGGCUCACUGAUAGAAGCUUCCAGUUAGUUUCAUAGCUAAACCUGUCCGAGACUCAAAUAAACCAGAACUCAGUUGCCAGAUGCCAGGGUAAAAUGGCUGAUAACCGCCACCAGUAGCAGUGCCCACAGCAAUGCUACUAGCGAACACAGCACCACUUGGGGAAAUUCCAGGAUUGCUGGCUACCGGAUUGGUUAUAUUGGUAGUCAUGGUCCCAGUAUUUU
Molecule: long non-coding RNA, 1154 nt
Organism: Theobroma umbraticum
Lineage: Eukaryota; Viridiplantae; Streptophyta; Magnoliopsida; Malvales; Malvaceae
Source: RefSeq, a predicted model, not a curated record